Molecule: ribosomal RNA, 496 nt
Filed under: uncultured bacterium
Lineage: Bacteria
Description: partial 16S ribosomal RNA
Rfam family: Bacterial small subunit ribosomal RNA
Source: RNAcentral
GAUGAACGCUGGCGGCGUGCCUAAUACAUGCAAGUCGAGCGAACAGACGAGGAGCUUGCUCCUCUGACGUUAGCGGCGGACGGGUGAGUAACACGUGGAUAACCUACCUAUAAGACUGGGAUAACUUCGGGAAACCGGAGCUAAUACCGGAUAACAUGUUGAACCGCAUGGUUCAACAGUGAAAGACGGUCUUGCUGUCACUUAUAGAUGGAUCCGCGCCGCAUUAGCUAGUUGGUAAGGUAACGGCUUACCAAGGCAACGAUGCGUAGCCGACCUGAGAGGGUGAUCGGCCACACUGGAGCUGAGACACGGUCCAGAAUACUACGGGAGGCAGCAGUAGGGAAUCUUCCGCAAUGGGCGAAAGCCUGACGGAGCAGCGCCGCGUGAGUGAUGAAGGUCUUCGGAUCGUAAAACUCUGUUAUUAGGGAAGAACAAAUGUGUAAGUAACUAUGCACGUCUUGACGGUACCUAAUCAGAAAGCCACGGCUAACUACGU